Choloepus didactylus (southern two-toed sloth) is the source of this 609-nucleotide long non-coding RNA. RefSeq lists it as uncharacterized. The transcript has 3 exons. The record is from RefSeq and is a predicted model, not a curated record. Lineage: Eukaryota; Metazoa; Chordata; Mammalia; Pilosa; Megalonychidae.
GGGACUGGACGGAAAGGCUGCUUCCCUUGUUUUUCUUUGGGUGCUAAUCUCAGAUAGCUUUUGCUAGGGGUCUCCACGACGAUAACUAGUAAAUCAGACUUUUCCAGGCCUGUGACUGCUGUGUAGAUGCAUACGAUCCCUGAGGGACUGCUGGACCGCGCCAACUCGGCGCAUGCGCUUGCUAGCGGUUUCAGGCUGAGAGGCAGGUGCGUAGUGAUGUGACGUCUGAAGUAUUGUUUCGCCGAAGACGGAGCGGUGUCAGGGGCUGUACGUUGGCUUCCCCAGAUGUGCUGAGAUCUUCGUGGGACGCGGGACUAGGACUCGUGUGGCUGUAUCGUGUUCCGAAUGAAAUCUGAAAGGGUUUAUCUGUGUUGUAGAAGAUGCUGUCAAGUGCAUUGCCAUGCAACAGAAAAGCCAAGGACAAAGGAUUUCCCAGCAGCCAGCCCCAGAACACCAGUCUUCUGAGAGAAAACAUUACCUUGCUGAAGCCUGGAUUUUGGACUUCUCCUAGCUGCAAAACCCUAUCAGUUCAAGUGCCCUUUCCUCAAGGAGGCUUUUCGGACCCCACAGACAAAGUCAAGUCCUAGGUUAUGAACUCCACAGAAGUAC